RNAcentral lists this non-coding RNA (81 nucleotides) under delta proteobacterium NaphS2. RNAcentral describes it as "c-di-GMP-I riboswitch aptamer". It matches the Rfam family "c-di-GMP-I riboswitch aptamer". Rfam says of the family: GEMM was predicted in a large-scale screen for bacterial structured RNA regulatory elements. Genes associated with GEMM are involved in a diverse array of functions, including chemotaxis regulation, signal transduction, secretion and chitin. RNAcentral also lists the same sequence under 1 other name. Lineage: Bacteria; Deltaproteobacteria. The record is from Rfam by way of RNAcentral.
ACAGAAAAAUGCCAAGCCCAUCGUGAAGUGGGUACGGAAAGCCGCGAGCCCCUUUUUUCAAGGGAUAGUCGGGUUGCCUGU